RNAcentral lists this transfer RNA (62 nucleotides) under Exorista civilis. Its description in RNAcentral is "tRNA-Ile". Lineage: Eukaryota; Metazoa; Arthropoda; Insecta; Diptera; Tachinidae. The record is from RNAcentral.
AAUGAAUUGCCUGAAAAAAGGGUUACCUUGAUAGGGUAAAUAAUGUAAUAUAAUUACAUUCA